UUUUUCUUUUGAUGUUUACCUUAAUUGCUUUUUUGUUUAACUAUCUACUACUUCUGCUUGCACUCUUAUGAUUAUUUAAAGUUUAAAUAUAUUUUUAUUAUGGGUUUUAUAGAAUGUAAUUUUUUCAAAAUCGUUGUAAGUUUUACGAUAUCACUAAUUCAUUCCUCCUCUUGGUGACAUUCGUAUCCUAACUGGUGGUAGAUAACAAUGCUAUAGAGGGCGGUGGCCUUCAUUGACCCUAUAAUGUGUCACAGUUGCCCCAAAUAGCGAUGGUAGGGGGCUUCGACAGUGAUUGUGCAAGAGGCAUGAUGCAAUCAUGUCAACUUAGGGUUGUGGGCGAUGCCGCAUCCGCAGCAAUGGAGUUCGGAGCAAGCAUGUUGAGUGACAACAUCAAUUAUUGUGCUCAUGGGCAUUGGCCUCGACUAGCAAUGCCAAGGAUCAUGGGGUGGUCCGGCACAUGAUCGGUUGGACAAUGGUGUUAUUAGGCGGCUGUAGGAGUCUAGUUGGCAUGGUUAUGUUUGGAUUUUUCGGAUGGCAAUGCCUCCAAGCAUCACAACAAAAGGGUCCCAAGGUUCAAAAUAUGGCAUUAGCAGCACCGCCCAGGUGCUCACAUUACAAUUGGCUAUAUCAUAGUGACAAGAGGGCUUGACGGGCUAUUGGGCAUUGUCGCUAUGGAACUUGGCGCCCGACAAGGCUGUGCCAUGAAGAUGGCUGCCAGACCGGUGGCAAGUCAUUCGCGACAGAGGGGUGUCGGUCAAGGAUUAUUGACCAUGAGAUUGCAUUGGUCACAUGCAAUGGAAAAGUUGCAAUGAGAGGAAAUUGAGAGAAGGGGUAUUUAGGUGAUAGGGAUUUUGACUUUGGUCAAAAUUAAUUUUGAUUAAACUUUAUCCUUAAUUAAAUUAUGAUUAUAACCUAUUUUUAGUUUUAAUUUUUGUUGAAUCUCGAAUUUUAAUGAUGAAAUCAAUUGAUGAGUUUAUGAGACUAAUAUGCUUUUGAGAUAAGUGACAUAAAAAAAAAAACUUUGAUUACAGAAUCAAGAAAACCAUAUUAGAUCGAAAUAAAGCUCACAUAUCAAGAAAACCAUUGGGCAUGAAGUUGGAUUAAUUGGACUCGUUAAAAGGUCAAACUAGUAGCCUAAACCAGGCUUGGGUGGUGGUAUCGCUAGACUCAAGUGGUAGUACUGCUUAAGUUAGUCAAUAAGUAUAGUUUGUGCUUUGUUAGCCUUUUCAGCGAUGGUACUGCCUAUGGCAGUAAUAGCUAUGCCAAGGGCAGUGAUAGUACCACUCAAAAUUUAAAUUUUAUGAUGUUAGUACUAUAAAAGUCUAGAUUUGUGACAUCAAAAGUUACGACAGUAGUGCUGCCUAGUGUUAGUGAUAGUAUUGCUUGUAUCUCAAAAUUUUUAGGGAUUUAAUAUUUUUGCUUCAUUCUUGAUGCUUUUUAGGGCCUAUAAAUAUUAAACUUAAGCUUGGUUGAUGAAGGAUAUAUUACUGAGUUACUAAAAUAUUUUAAGCUCUCAUCUUGAGUAUAGUUCGAGUCUUUUCUUCUUGAGUUAAGUUGAAAUUCUAAAUUGUAAGAGGUUAAAGAUCUUUUGUAGAAAGAGAGUUUAAAGGUUAUCUUCUAAGUUUGAAAUAGAAAAAAGUUAUAAUAAGGAUAGUUGAUAUUCGUUCGUUAGAAAGAAUAUCGAUAGUGAAAACUGGUGGUCUCGAUGGAAGAGGAAUUAGGAGUGAACAUAGGUCAAGAAGACCGAAUCACUAUAAAUUGAUUUGCUUCUCUUUACUUUUCCUCUACUUGUGACUUAAUUUUAUUAUCUUUACUUGCGACUUUAAUUUAAUCAAUCGAGUUUCUAAAACAUGUUGAUUAUCAAUAAAAUUUUAAAAUCGAUUAAAAAUAUUUUUACAUAAUUCACCCCCGACCCCCCUCUUAGUGCCAAUAAGAUCCUAAUAAUUCUAACCUCAAUAAAUUUUUUUCUAUCAGAUUUAGAUAUGGUUAGCUUUUAUUUUUUAUCAAUCAAAUCUAAUUUUGACAUGAUGAAAUUUGACCACUCUAUUCUAAUUUUAAUUUUGAUCUAAUUAUUGUCUUAGGUCAAUUGGAUCUUAAUUACAAAUUGAUUGGGGUGGUUGUUGGGUUCAAUUUGAGCGGUUGGCUACCAAAUC
RNAcentral lists this long non-coding RNA (2153 nucleotides) under Musa acuminata (dwarf banana). Its description in RNAcentral is "long non-coding RNA (MACU_LNC009210)". Lineage: Eukaryota; Viridiplantae; Streptophyta; Magnoliopsida; Zingiberales; Musaceae. The record is from RNAcentral.